UUUAAUACAACUUAAGAAAGCUGCUGUGGUGAAAUGAAGGUGAAGGCCAAUGGCUCGCCCACCAGCCGAAGUGGGAUCCCAAGCUUUCUCCAGUCCACCAAGGGUGUACCACUAGCCUGUCUUGCCCACUGCACCAGGGAGGUGGAGCAUGAGCACGUGUGUUAGGACGUGGAAGAUGGUGAACUAACUAUGCCUGGGCAGGACAAAGCCAGAGGAAAUUCAGGUAGUGGUCCUGAUGUGCAAGUCGGUCAUCUGACCUGGGUAUAGAGGUGAAAGACUAAUUGAACCAUCCCUCAGGGUAGCUGGCACUCUUGCAGAAAUAAAAAACUUGAAAACAACCCAGGUAGUUUAAUCCUUUAAAGCCAAAGAUUAGAGGUCUUGGGGCCAAAACGAUCUCAACCUAUUCUCAAACUUUAAAUGGGUAAGAAGCCCAGAUGGAUGGUGUGGAUCUGGGCAUGAAUGUGAGUGCCUAGUGCGUCACUUUUGGUAAGCAGAACUAGCACUGUGGGAAGAACCAAACAUCAGGUUAAGGUGCCUGAUUGCCAGUGCCCAGCAGACCCCAGAAAAGGUGUUGGUUGAUAUAGACUGCAGGAUGGUGGCCAUGGAAGUUGGACUCUGCCAAGGAGUGUGAAACAACUCACCUGCUGAAUCAACUAGCCCUGAAAAUGGAUGGUGCUGGAGCGUGGGGACCAUACCUGGCCAUCGCUGGCAGUCAAAACACGGUGGACAGGAGCGAAAGCAACCUGAGAUUGCUAUGCCAUUACAAGUAGGAGAGCCACUGUGGUGAGCCUUGAGGCCUAGGGCGCAGCCCGGGUGGAGCUGCUGCAGGUGCAGAU
Molecule: ribosomal RNA, 836 nt
Filed under: Marmota monax (woodchuck)
Lineage: Eukaryota; Metazoa; Chordata; Mammalia; Rodentia; Sciuridae
Description: LSU_rRNA_eukarya
Rfam family: Eukaryotic large subunit ribosomal RNA
Source: RNAcentral